UCACCCUGUGAACAGAGUUUCUUGUUAGUAAACCUUUACCUCUUCCCCAAUCUGCUAAAAUCCCUACAUGAACAUUCACUUCCCACUUAGUCUAUCACUGCGAUCAGCCUCCCCACCCACCCUCGUCUGCUCCUCCCUGCCCCGCCCCCAGACCAGAGUGGCUGUUGGUCAACCCCUGACAUCUUGCUCCCAGCCAUGACCCUGCUGCCACUGGGUCACACACAGCCUGGUCCCAGGGACUGGAUUCCAGCAGACUCUGAAGGUAUGGCCACACCUGAAGACAGUUGGAAGCCACCCAAGCAGUGAACAGAGCUAAGACUCGGAGGGGCUCACAGGUACCCUGGGUUCCCCAGACCUAUACCCCAUGUCCAUGGCUUUGCCUUGCUUGCCUGGGCUGUCUUCUGCCUUAUGAGCCAGGAGUACUAGAUGGCCAGCCAAGCAGGAAUUCAAACCAGAACCACAUGGCUGGAUCUAGAAUCCACACAGUACAACACAGCCACCAAACAUCUUCUGAAGGACCCUGUGACCCGCCACCUAGCCCUCCCUCUUCCACUAGGGUCUCUAACAAGACCUGGAGCUCACCGAUGUAUCUAAGCAAGACCUGGCGAUCUUUGCCUGCCUGCUUCCCUUAUUCUGAGGUUACAGGCAUGUGUCCCCAUGAGUGUCCUCUUACAUAUAUAGUGGGGAUCCAGUUCAGGUCUUCAAGCCUGACCAACAAGCUCUUCCCUGCCAGAGUCAUCUGCCCGGGCCCAAAGCAAGCGCUUUCUCAAACUGCAGUGGAACAGUAGAGAAAGACGAAGAGGAACAGCAUAGGGCCAGCUAGAGGGGUGAGAAUGGCUACACUGUAUGUCAGCCUUGGAACUUGGGGUUGAAGCAGACAUCAGACUCUUUGAGCACAGAGAGAAUCAGAGGGAAAAGACUCAAGGUCGCCGGAGUGCUGUUUGCUUUUGCCUUUAAAUAUGGGCUCCCCUCAUGCCCACUGUGCUCUCGCAACGCUAUCCCGGGACAACUGCUAGGACUGCACAGCACUACACAAGCAGAUGGCGUAUACAUAGGGUAUAAGGCAACUUAGACAGCCGUUUUGUGAUCAGCACCAGACAGAAGGAAACAGAAGGAUUUCUUCCUUGGAAACUGAAAACGAAAGCCAGCACCUAAGAAUCCUAGGUAUGGGUGCCCCACAGCCACAUCUCCCUGGUUUCACCUGAGCUAAGAACACUGACAAAUGUUUGAAGCCCAGUCUAAAAUUAGACUUAUCUGUAUUCUACACCGAAAUGAGCGAUUCGAAAUCCUACUGUAAAUAUUAGUCACGUGACUUUCUGAUGUUUGCUGUCCUUCCACUGUAGGGUGGCGAAGCUGACUAAGCCUGUGGCAUAUGCCAGUAAUAUCAGCAUAGGGAGAGACUGAGAUAGAAGGGUUACAAGUUCAAGACCAAACUAAGCUAGAAAUGCUGACUCAAAAUAGAUGGGGCAGGCAGUAAGGCUGCAGGGAUGACUUAGCAGUUAAGGCAGUGACUCCUAGAGGAGCAGUAGCACCCAUAGGUGUCUCUAACUUCAGCUCCUGGAGAUCAAAUGCCCUUUCCCUGCCCUCGGUGGGCACCCCUACAAAGGAGGCAUAUACUCCACUCAGCUGCAUAAAUAAAAAAUAAAUGUUUGAGAACGGUAAA
This is a non-coding RNA of Rattus norvegicus (Norway rat), 1663 nucleotides long. NCBI's taxonomy places the organism in Eukaryota, Metazoa, Chordata, Mammalia, Rodentia, Muridae. The record is from RefSeq and is a predicted model, not a curated record.